GUCCUGUUUUUCUCUGACUGUUAAUGAUAUUACUACUAAAUCUAUUGGAUGCUGGAUAAGUACUGAUUGAUAUUGUAGUCUAAGAUGUUUUUAUAAGCUGUUAUUCAGUCUUUGUUUUUGUUAGUUAUUUUCCUGUUUUUUUUAUCAAAUCAACGAGUUAAGUCCUUUUCAACUGAUUUUCGUAGUUUGAUCUUUUGUUGUACUGUUACACUACUGUCUCAGGUUAGGGAGAAGGUUUGCGCUGGCAAACAUGUUUAAUAUCGCCAUAUUCUGUAUAUGCCUGUCCCAAGUCGGGAGCCUGUAUUUUCAGUGGUUUGUAUUUGUAUAACAUAUUUGUUUUUCCUUUUUUUGUAUAGUACAUAAAUCAGGCAGUUAGUUUUGUUGUUUGAAUCGUAUUGCAUUUGCAAUGACAGACCUUUUCUAUGCAGUAUUGAUUUUGGUCAUUGUUGAAGACCAAUAUGUGGCAUACAGUAGUCAUUUGGUCUCUGUAGGAGGUUAGUGUCAUGCGCAAUCAUACCAUCUUCUUUUCUUAUAAUAACAGUUGAGCAAGAAACAAUUGAUGGUUCUUACAGAGAACACCCAUAAUGGAGGGUGAUACUAAAUGAUUGAUAGUCUUUCCAUAUAUAUAUGAUGCUUAUAAAUGUAGAGAUUUAAUGUAC
This 659-nucleotide long non-coding RNA is filed under the name Mytilus galloprovincialis (Mediterranean mussel). The record is from RNAcentral. Lineage: Eukaryota; Metazoa; Mollusca; Bivalvia; Mytilida; Mytilidae.